UACAGAGGGUGCGAGCGUUAAUCGGAAUUACUGGGCGUAAAGCGUGCGUAGACGGUUAUUUAAGUCGGGUGUGAAAGCCCCGGGCUCAACCUGGGAAUUGCAUUCGAGACUGAAUAGCUGGGGUACGGUAGAGGGAAGCGGAAUUUCCGGUGUAGCGGUGAAAUGCGUAGAUAUCGGAAGGAACAUCAGUGGCGAAAGCGGCUUCCUGGACCAGUACCGACGUUCAGGCACGAAAGCGUGGGGAGCAAACAGG
Molecule: ribosomal RNA, 253 nt
Filed under: uncultured bacterium
Lineage: Bacteria
Description: partial 16S ribosomal RNA
Rfam family: Bacterial small subunit ribosomal RNA
Source: RNAcentral